AUGGUCAAAUUACAUUGAAAACACCCGUUCUCGUUUAAUCAUCGAAAUUAAGCAAUGUUGAUCUCGGCCAGUACUUAGAUGGGGGACCACUUAGGAACACCGGAUAGUG
Acanthosepion pharaonis is the source of this 109-nucleotide non-coding RNA. The record is from the annotation of a GenBank genome assembly. NCBI's taxonomy places the organism in Eukaryota, Metazoa, Mollusca, Cephalopoda, Sepiida, Sepiidae.